RNAcentral lists this ribosomal RNA (394 nucleotides) under uncultured bacterium. RNAcentral's name for it is "bacterial SSU rRNA". It matches the Rfam family "Bacterial small subunit ribosomal RNA", at positions 357 to 748 of the family's 1533-position model. The record is from RNAcentral.
AGGAAUAUUGGACAAUGGAGGCAACUCUGAUCCAGCCAUGCCGCGUGAAGGAAUAAGGCCCUAUGGGUUGUACACUUCUUUUAGACGGGACAAAACCCCUUUACGUGUAAAGGGUUGAUAGUACUGUCGGAAUAAGCAUCGGCUAACUUCGUGCCAGCAGCCGCGGUAAUACGAAGGAUGCAAGCGUUAUCCGGAAUUAUUGGGUUUAAAGGGUGCGUAGGCGGACUAAUAAGUCAGUGGUGAAAGCCUGCAGCUUAACUGCAGAAUUGCCAUUGAUACUGUUAGUCUUGAGUACAGUUGAGGUAGGCGGAAUGUGUCAUGUAGCGGUGAAAUGCUUAGAUAUGACACAGAACACCGAUUGCGAAGGCAGCUUGCUAAGCUGUAACUGACGCUG